This 63-nucleotide transfer RNA is filed under the name Proisotoma minuta. Its description in RNAcentral is "tRNA-Pro". Lineage: Eukaryota; Metazoa; Arthropoda; Collembola; Entomobryomorpha; Isotomidae. The record is from RNAcentral.
CAAGAUUUAGUUUAAUUUAAAACUCUAGCUUUGGGGGUUAAAAAUGUUCCUUAACAAUCUUGA